Molecule: ribosomal RNA, 709 nt
Filed under: uncultured archaeon
Lineage: Archaea
Description: bacterial SSU rRNA
Rfam family: Archaeal small subunit ribosomal RNA
Source: RNAcentral
GCGGACGGCUCAGUAACACGUAGUCAACCUAACUCGUGGACGUGGAUAACCUCGGGAAACUGAGAAUAAACCACGAUAGAUCAUAGUGCCUGGAAUGGCUUAUGGUCCAAACAGUUUACUGCCAUGGGAUGGGACUGCGGCCUAUCAGCUUGUUGGUGAGGUAAUGGCCCACCAAGGCGAUUACAGGUACGGGCUCUGAGAGGAGAAGCCCGGAGAUGGGUACUGAGACACGGACCCAGGCCCUAUGGGGCGCAGCAGGCGAGAAACCUUAGCAAUGUGCGAAAGCACGACUGGGUCAGUCCGAGUGAUUCCUGAUAAAGGAGUCUUUUGCUUGUCCUAAAAGCACAGGUGAAUAAGGGGUGGGCAAGUCUGGUGUCAGCCGCCGCGGUAAUACCAGCACCUCGAGUGGUCAGGACGUUUAUUGGGCCUAAAGCAUCCGUAGCCGGCUUUGCAAGUCUUCGGUUAAAUCCACCUGCUCAACAGAUGGGCCGCUGGAGAUACUACAGAGCUAGGGAGUGGGAGAGGCAGACGGUAUUCAGUGGGUAGGGGUAAAAUCCUCUGAUCCAUUGAGGACCACCAGUGGCGAAGGCGGUCUGCCAGAACACGUUCGACGGUGAGGGAUGAAAGCUGGGGGAGCAAACCGGAUUAGAUACCCCGGGUAGUCCCAGCUGUAACGAUGCAAACUCGGUGAUGCAUUGGCUUAUGGCCA